This 253-nucleotide ribosomal RNA is filed under the name uncultured bacterium. RNAcentral's name for it is "partial 16S ribosomal RNA". It matches the Rfam family "Bacterial small subunit ribosomal RNA", at positions 524 to 776 of the family's 1533-position model. The record is from RNAcentral.
UACAGAGGGUGCGAGCGUUAAUCGGAAUUACUGGGCGUGAAGCGUGCGUAGACGGUUGCGUAAGUCAGAUGUGAAAGCCCCGGGCUCAACCCGGAAAGGUCAACUGAUACUGUGCGACUAGAGUGCGGAAGGGGCAACUGGAAUUCUUGGUGUAGCGGUGAAAUGCGUAGAUAUCAAGAGGAACACCUGCGGCGAAGGCGGGUUGCUGGGCCGACACUGACGCUGAAGCGCGAAAGCCAGGGGAGCGAACGGG